Long non-coding RNA from Pseudophryne corroboree (corroboree frog), 874 nucleotides. RefSeq lists it as uncharacterized. The transcript has 3 exons. The record is from RefSeq and is a predicted model, not a curated record. NCBI's taxonomy places the organism in Eukaryota, Metazoa, Chordata, Amphibia, Anura, Myobatrachidae.
CUGACACCAUCACUGGAGAUCAUGAGUAAAGGAAAGCAUCUGGGUCUAGAAAUACCUCCUGACAAGCUCUCCGCACAAUGAUAUGAUAGUAUUAUAAUACAGGGUGUGUCAAAUGUGCGUGUGGAUCAUUGGGUCAACCUGAAAAAGUUUGACAGUGUCUAGGUUCAACCCAAAAGGUCAAAAUACAGAUACAGAAAGUCGACAUGGGAAAAAGGUCAACACAGGAAAAGGUCAAUGAAAUCUCCACCUGGGAGCGGGAAGGAUGCCAGCCAGACGCUGAUGGUUUGCGGCGCAGCAAAGAAGGCAAGCCAGUGGCACCCAGAUCACUUUUACCUGCAUUGGCUCAGGUCAGUCAUGGUCUUGACCCAUGCAUCUAAAACUGCAAUGACUAAUUUAGUCGGGACCUACUGGUACGCCCCAGGAUUCUCUACAUUGGCUUCUGAAUUUUGCCAGGGCUGUCUAAUUUGUCUCCAAAACAAUCCAGGUAGAAAAGUGCCUACAAUAUCAUCACACCUUCCCACCACAGGUGGUACAAAUUGAUUACAUUCAGCUCCCAAAGCCGAGCAGUCCUGCAGCCUGCCAUGAUUUGAUGCCUGGUGACUUUGAUGAUAAAAAAACUUUUUAAGUUGCAGUCCUUUGUCCGAACGGUGGGAGGGACCAUUCCAGGUACUGUUGAUGACCCCAACGGCUGUGAAAGUUGGUGAAAGGUCCACCUGGAUACACGCUUCACAUUGCAAAAAGGUCCUCUCUGACCUGCCCCGAGGUGAACCAGAAAACAUCCUGCAGACCACCUCACCUGUGUUGCUCACAGUACUGUGACCACCAGAAAGGAUAUAAUAAAGCCCCUGGCAUGGUAGGCAAGCCUAUGCUACCA